AGCUGAGUUGGAAGCCAAAUCAUCAGAGCAUGACGACCAUAUUCCUAAUCUGGGGGUCCCGCGUUCGAAUCGCGGCGGGAUCACCA
This 86-nucleotide transfer RNA is filed under the name Ensifer adhaerens. RNAcentral's name for it is "tRNA-Arg". Lineage: Bacteria; Pseudomonadati; Pseudomonadota; Alphaproteobacteria; Hyphomicrobiales; Rhizobiaceae. The record is from RNAcentral.